Molecule: ribosomal RNA, 560 nt
Filed under: Thalassiosira antarctica
Lineage: Eukaryota; Bacillariophyta; Thalassiosirophyceae; Thalassiosirales; Thalassiosiraceae
Description: partial Bacterial small subunit ribosomal RNA
Rfam family: Bacterial small subunit ribosomal RNA
Source: RNAcentral
GUGGUUUAAUUCGAAGCAACGCGCAGAACCUUACCAACCCUUGACAUCCCUGGACCGCCGGAGAGAUCCGGUUUUCUCGUAAGAGACCAGGUGACAGGUGCUGCAUGGCUGUCGUCAGCUCGUGUCGUGAGAUGUUCGGUUAAGACCGGCAACGAGCGCAACCCACAUCUUUAGUUGCCAGCAGUUCGGCUGGGCACUCUAAAGAAACUGCCCGUGAUAAGCGGGAGGAAGGUGUGGAUGACGUCAAGUCCUCAUGGCCCUUACGGGCUGGGCUACACACGUGCUACAAUGGCAUCUACAGUGGGUUAAUCCCCAAAAGAUGUCUCAGUUCGGAUUGGGGUCUGCAACUCGACCCCAUGAAGUCGGAAUCGCUAGUAAUCGCGUAACAGCAUGACGCGGUGAAUACGUUCCCGGGCCUUGUACACACCGCCCGUCAAACCAUGGAAGCUGGGAGUGCCUGAAGUCGGUUACCGCAAGGAGCCGCCUAGGGUAAAACUGGUAACUAGGGCUAAGUCGAAACAAGGUAGCCGUACCGGAAGGUGCGGCUGGAACACCUCCUU